This 24-nucleotide unclassified non-coding RNA is filed under the name Dictyostelium discoideum. The record is from RNAcentral. Lineage: Eukaryota; Evosea; Eumycetozoa; Dictyosteliales; Dictyosteliaceae.
GACGAGGACUCAUCGCACAAUGGA